RNAcentral lists this ribosomal RNA (460 nucleotides) under uncultured bacterium. RNAcentral's name for it is "partial 16S ribosomal RNA". It matches the Rfam family "Bacterial small subunit ribosomal RNA", at positions 338 to 795 of the family's 1533-position model. The record is from RNAcentral.
CCUACGGGUGACAGCAGUGAGGAAUAUUGGGCAAUGGACGAAAGUCUGAACCAGCCAUGCCGCGUGCAGGAUGACGGCUCUAUGAGUGGUAAACUGCUUUUGUAUUGGGGUAAACACCCCGUCGUGUAGGGGCGUGAAAGUAUAAUACGAAUAAGGAUCGGCUAACUCCGUGCCAGCAGCCGCGGUAAUACGGAGGAUCCAAGCGUUAUCCGGAUUUAUUGGGUUUAAAGGGUGCGUAGGCGGUUUGAUAAGUUAGAGGUGAAAUACCGGUGCUCAACACCGGAACUGCCUUUAAUACUGUUGAACUAGAGAGUAGGAGAGGUAGGCGGAAUGCAUGGUGUAGCGGUGAAAUGCUUAGAGAUCAGGCAGAACACCGAUUGCGAAGGCAGCUUACCGAACUAUAUCUGACGUUGAGGCACGAAAGCGUGGGUAGCAAACAGGAUUAGAUACCCCAGUAGUC